CCUUCAGGUUAGAUUAGGGUUUACUACUUGAUUAAUUUUUGUUUAUGAAAGUUUUAUUCUUUCUUCUUUGGUCACUUUUUCUUUUAUAUUAUAUACUAGUUUUGAAUACUAAAAGUUCUUUUUGCAGUGAUUAGAUUUAAUAAAUCAAAUUAUUUUGGAAUUAGUAAUUGAUUUAGUUUUGUGCCUAAUUCGUGCCAGCAGCCGCGGUUAUACGAUUAAUGCAAGUGAAUAUAUUUGGUUAAAACAGUUAUUUUUAUAUUUAGGAUUAAUUUAGAAAUUUAUAAGGUGAAAUUUUAAAAUUUUUUUAUAAUUCUUAUUUUAGGAUUCUGUGAAACUUAAAUAAUAAACUAGGAUUAGAUACCCUAUUAUUUUAAGUGUUAAUUUUGCUUACCUGGGUAGUAUUAGUUAGGAUCUUAAAACCCAAAGAAUUUGGCGGUAUUUCAUUCCAUUCAGAGGAACCUAUCCCAUGAUUGAUGGUACACAAUUUGUAAUACUUAUUUUAUAUGUUUGUAUAUCUCCGUUAUCAGAAAAUCUUUUAAGAGUUAUUAAAAUUUUCGUAAUUCUUAAUAUGAAUUAUUUCAGGUCAAGGUGGAAUUAUAGAUAAGACGUGUUGGGUUACAAUAAAUUUAAUUUACGGUUUUAUUUAUGUAAAUUUUUAAUUAAGAUGGAUUUGAUAGUAAUUUGUUUAACAUUUUUCUUUUGAUAUUAGCUCUAAAUUGUGUACACAUCGCCCGUCGCUCUCAUUAUUUUGUUUUGUUUGAUUAAUUUAUGUUAGGUGAGAUAAGUCGUAACAUAGUAGAUGUACUGGAAAGUGUAUCUAGUAAGAUU
RNAcentral lists this non-coding RNA (828 nucleotides) under Mekongiana xiangchengensis. The record is from RNAcentral. Lineage: Eukaryota; Metazoa; Arthropoda; Insecta; Orthoptera; Pyrgomorphidae.